RNAcentral lists this transfer RNA (71 nucleotides) under Candidatus Kuenenbacteria bacterium. RNAcentral describes it as "tRNA-Gly". It matches the Rfam family "tRNA". From Rfam's summary of the family: Transfer RNA (tRNA) molecules are approximately 80 nucleotides in length. Their secondary structure includes four short double-helical elements and three loops (D, anti-codon, and T loops). Further hydrogen bonds mediate the characteristic L-shaped molecular structure. tRNAs have two regions of fundamental functional importance: the anti-codon, which is responsible for specific mRNA codon recognition, and the 3' end, to which the tRNAs corresponding amino acid is attached (by aminoacyl-tRNA synthetases). tRNAs cope with the degeneracy of the genetic code in two manners: having more than one tRNA (with a specific anti-codon) for a particular amino acid; and 'wobble' base-pairing, i.e. permitting non-standard base-pairing at the 3rd anti-codon position. The record is from RNAcentral. Lineage: Bacteria; Candidatus Kueneniibacteriota.
GCGGAUAUAGUAUAGUGGUAGUACGCGACCUUCCCAAGGUUGAGGUGGCGGUUCGAUUCCGCUUAUCCGCU